This 201-nucleotide long non-coding RNA is filed under the name Brassica napus (rape). Its description in RNAcentral is "long non-coding RNA (BNAP_LNC011688)". The record is from RNAcentral. Lineage: Eukaryota; Viridiplantae; Streptophyta; Magnoliopsida; Brassicales; Brassicaceae.
CAAAGAACAAAGCACUAGUAAGAGAAACACUUGGCGUGGAGAAAAAGAGGCUAGAGGAUUUUGUCAUACGAUUUCAGAAUCACUCGAAACGAUGAAGAAUCAAGUAAUCCCCAUAUUUGAUGGAGAGAAGUACGACUGAAGCAUUAAGAUGGUAACCAUUCUCAAGACCAGGAAGUUAUGGUCUGUGGUUGAAGAAGGCGU